UUAAAGAGUUCUAUAACUCCCAAACCCAUGUGAACAUACCUAACGUUGCCUCGGCAGGUCGCACCUACCUUGUAGCACCCUACCCUGUAGGGCCUACCCGGGAGGUGCGGGUAAGCCUGCCGGCGGCCCACCAAACUCUGUUUGAUAUUGAAUUCUGAACCUAUAACUAAAUAAGUUAAAACUUUCAACAACGGAUCUCUUGGUUCUGGCAUCGAUGAAGAACGCAGCGAAAUGCGAUAAGUAAUGUGAAUUGCAGAAUUCAGUGAAUCAUCGAAUCUUUGAACGCAUAUUGCGCCCAUUAGUAUUCUAGUGGGCAGGACCGUUCGAGCGUCAUUUCAACCCUUAAGCCUUCGUUGCUUAGUGUUGGGAGCCUACGGCAACGUAGCUCCUCAAAGUUAGUGGCGGAGUUGGUUCACACUCUAGACGUAGUAAUUUUUUAUCUCGCCUAUUAGUUGGACUAAUCCCCUGCCGUAAAACCCCCAAUUUAUCAAGGUUGACCUCGAAUCGGUUCAGACAAACUCGCUAAAUUGAAGCAUCUUAGUCAGCGAAGGAAAAGAAACCAACAGGGAUUGCCCUAGUAACGGCGAGUGAAGC
Molecule: ribosomal RNA, 594 nt
Filed under: fungal endophyte
Lineage: Eukaryota; Fungi
Description: eukaryotic LSU rRNA
Rfam family: 5.8S ribosomal RNA (bases 180-333)
Source: RNAcentral